GACGAACGCUGGCGGCGUGCUUAACACAUGCAAGUCGAACGGAAAGGCCCUGCUUUUGUGGUGUUCUCGAGUGGCGAACGGGUGCGUGACAGGUGAGUAACCUGCUCUUGACUUUGGUAUAACUUCAGGAAACUAGGGUUAAUACCGUAUAGUAUCUCCUGCUGCAUUGAGGGGGUUGGAAAGUUUCGGCGGGUGGGGAUGGACUGGCGGGUUACGAGCUUGUUGGUUGGGUAGGGGCUUACCAAGGCUGUGACGGGUAGGCGGCCUGAGAGGGUGACCGGCCACAUUGGGACUGAGAUACGGACCAGACUCCUACGGGAGGCAGCAGUGGGGAAUAUUGCACAAUGGGCGGAAGCCUGAUGAAGAAACGCUGCGUGCGGGAUGACGGCCUUCGGGUUGUAAACCGCUUUCGCCUGUGACGAAGCGUGAGUGACGGUAAUGGGUAAAGAAGCACCGGCUAACUACGUG
Molecule: ribosomal RNA, 468 nt
Filed under: uncultured bacterium
Lineage: Bacteria
Description: partial 16S ribosomal RNA
Rfam family: Bacterial small subunit ribosomal RNA
Source: RNAcentral